CGGAAAUAAAACAUGAUAUGAUGAGAAAUCAAAAUCAGGUGAAAACGAGGCUGAUCACUUUUUUCAGUAGCUUGGUAGCAACUUUCUAACCAACUCAUUAAUAUUCAUGACCAGUCUAUCAAUUUUGGCGAGCAGCUGAUCGAGGAAUCGUCCCGACGAUGAUCGAGCGACCAACAGCUUCGACAUUACAUACAUACAGUUAGUGAGAAGUCGUGAGUUUUUGUGAUCGUUUACGUACGCAGUAACAGAGAGAGGGUUUAGUCGACGUCAGUUCAAUCACGGAGGAAUAAUUCAAUUGAAUUAAUAUCAGUUUGUUGAUAGUUAGGCCUACACCUAUGGCUAUGCCUAGGAUUAACACAGUCAAUAUCUACCCAGCACCAGCGUCAGUACUCCCGUCCCGCUCGCAACAGGACUACAAUAUAGGUGAUAGGCAUACAUGACACCCUGGUCACAUGGUAUUUGACAGUUCCCAUGAUGAGACAGAAAUACCCCAACAUUUGCCAUUAGUACAACCACCCAACCUGCACCCAAAACUGGCAUCUAGUGAUAAAAGAUGGUGGUACAAAGCAUACAAGCACCCAGCAAGACCUUGGCAAGAAACACUCCGGUCGUCUACUGAAACUUGUAGUGGAAGCUACACACAAUGUAACGCGAGCAAUUUGUACCAAUAUUUCUACAACAUUAAUACAUUACAAACUAGCAGACAGGAAGUUUUUACGCAUCUGGUUUAUAUUGCAGCACUGUAUUACAAUGUGCAUGCCAAAUUUAUAAUAAAUAAAUAAUAUUUUUAGAAGUUUUAGAAUUGUUACUUGCAAAAUAUCUUUAAUACUAAUCAAUGUUAUUAUAAGUUUCUUGUUUUAAAACCGUGUAAUCCCAUUCAAUAGUAAUACUUUUGGAGCAAAUAUGUGACCCAGAUUUAUAAAACAACUUGUAGGGAUUAAUAUUGAAAUAUAUAAUGCACGAAAUUUAUAAUACAGUAUGAAAUGUGGCUGAAUAUAUACAGGAACAACUAUUUUAAUGUAUGGCUUUCUACAGUCUGGUGUAAAGUUAGUCUAUGAAUUUGGUUAUUUUGUAAUGGCUGGAUUAUGCCUAUGUCUGCAUGCUUUUAAACGUUUGCUGAUUAAUUUGGUAUUGCAAUUUAAAAGAAAACUUUGAUUUUGUUGUUGUACACCAUUUUUUGUUUAGUAUUUUGAAAUAUUUAUGUAGUUGAACUUGCCUAUGUCGUAUCCAAAAUGCCAUUGAGAAAUUGUUUGACAAAACUAAAUUGACUUGCACUUGCAGUAAUGGAAAACUACAAUUCGGCAUGUAAAAUUAGAUUGACUUUUUUGAAAUUAGGGCAAAGUCGUUUUAGGCAAGUUUAACUGAUUUAUUUGUCAUGUUUAAUUGCCUUGUAUUAUUUACUAUAGCCAAGAUUUCUUCUUUCAUGAUGAUUUUCAACAUCCCUGAUAUUUUUGGUGCUUUACUUGGUUAUUGAUUAUUACUGUACAUAAAUUCAAGAGUACUGGUGUAACUAAAUAAAUAUUUUUUAAACACA
Molecule: long non-coding RNA, 1534 nt
Organism: Anneissia japonica
Lineage: Eukaryota; Metazoa; Echinodermata; Crinoidea; Comatulida; Comatulidae
Exons: 2
Source: RefSeq, a predicted model, not a curated record